AUUGAACGCUGGCGGCAGGCCUAACACAUGCAAGUCGAGCGGAUGAAGGGAGCUUGCUCCUGGAUUCAGCGGCGGACGGGUGAGUAAUGCCUAGGAAUCUGCCUGGUAGUGGGGGAUAACGUCCGGAAACGGGCGCUAAUACCGCAUACGUCCUGAGGGAGAAAGUGGGGGAUCUUCGGACCUCACGCUAUCAGAUGAGCCUAGGUCGGAUUAGCUAGUUGGUGGGGUAAAGGCCUACCAAGGCGACGAUCCGUAACUGGUCUGAGAGGAUGAUCAGUCACACUGGAACUGAGACACGGUCCAGACUCCUACGGGAGGCAGCAGUGGGGAAUAUUGGACAAUGGGCGAAAGCCUGAUCCAGCCAUGCCGCGUGUGUGAAGAAGGUCUUCGGAUUGUAAAGCACUUUAAGUUGGGAGGAAGGGCAGUAAGUUAAUACCUUGCUGUUUUGACGUACC
Molecule: ribosomal RNA, 455 nt
Filed under: Pseudomonas aeruginosa
Lineage: Bacteria; Pseudomonadati; Pseudomonadota; Gammaproteobacteria; Pseudomonadales; Pseudomonadaceae
Description: bacterial SSU rRNA
Rfam family: Bacterial small subunit ribosomal RNA
Source: RNAcentral